GUUCACUACCGUGUAGGUAGUUUAGAAA
Non-coding RNA from Gilliamella apicola, 28 nucleotides. The record is from Rfam. Lineage: Bacteria; Pseudomonadati; Pseudomonadota; Gammaproteobacteria; Orbales; Orbaceae.